GAUGAAGAACGUAGCGAAAUGCGAUAAGUAAUGUGAAUUGCUGAAUUCAGUGAAUCAUCGAAUCUUUGAACGCACAUUGCGCCCGCCAGUAUUCUGGCGAGCAUGCCUGUUCGAGCGUCAUUUCAACCAUCAAGCCCCAGGCUUGUGUUGGAGCCCUGCGGCUGCCGCAGCCUCCCAAAACCAGUGGCGGGCUCGCUAUCACACCGAGUGCAGUAGUUUACUCUUCGCUCAGGGCGUGUGGCGGGUGCUAGCCGUGAAACCCCCAACUUCUCAAGGUUGACCUCGGAUCAGGUAGGAAUACCCGCUGAACUUAAGCAUAUCAAUAAGCGGAGGA
This 334-nucleotide unclassified non-coding RNA is filed under the name soil metagenome. Its description in RNAcentral is "partial contains 5.8S ribosomal RNA, internal transcribed spacer 2, and large subunit ribosomal RNA". The stretch from base 1 to 120 matches the Rfam family "5.8S ribosomal RNA", at positions 35 to 154 of the family's 154-position model. The record is from RNAcentral.